GUCUAUGGCCAUACCUCCCAGAACAUGCCGAUCUUGUGAAGCUAAGCAGGGUCGGGCCUGGCUGGUAGUUGGGAUGGGAAACCACCUGGAAUUACUGGGUACUAUAGGCU
This 110-nucleotide ribosomal RNA is filed under the name Macaca mulatta (Rhesus monkey). Lineage: Eukaryota; Metazoa; Chordata; Mammalia; Primates; Cercopithecidae. The record is from RNAcentral.